UGGACCCUGAUUUGGACCAACUUGAAAACUGGGCCAAUAAUAAAAAAUCUAAGUACAUUUUUAGAUUCAGCAUAUCAAAGAACCCCAAGAAUUCAAUUUUUGUUAAAUCAAACUAAGUUUAAUUUUGGACCCUUUGGACCUUAAUGUAGACCAAUUUGAAAACGGGACCAAAAAUUAAGAAUCUACAUACACAGUUAGAUUCGGCAUAUCAAAGAACCCCAAUU
Molecule: long non-coding RNA, 224 nt
Filed under: Mytilus galloprovincialis (Mediterranean mussel)
Lineage: Eukaryota; Metazoa; Mollusca; Bivalvia; Mytilida; Mytilidae
Source: RNAcentral